RNAcentral lists this long non-coding RNA (1075 nucleotides) under Triticum aestivum (bread wheat). RNAcentral's name for it is "long non-coding RNA (TAES_LNC003653)". Lineage: Eukaryota; Viridiplantae; Streptophyta; Magnoliopsida; Poales; Poaceae. The record is from RNAcentral.
UCUCUCCGCUACGCCGGUCGAGCCACGCCCGCCGGUGGCCUCCUCCUGGGCGGACCUGGGCGGAGCCGCUUGGGCCCCUCGCCGCGCCCACCUCCCCUGCUUCGCUCCUCUGUCUCCGAUCGGGGAGGCAGGAGGAGGAAGACCACGAUUCGCUGGUCCACUAUCCUGCAUGCGGGACCCCCUCGUCGGCCACCCUGAAGCCGGCCCCGCCUCUGCCACAUCACGUAAGUGACAACGCAUUUUCCAAGAAAUACGUUUUCUUAUUCUGAAAGCGUAUUCCCAUCUUCUUUUGCUCAAAAUACAUUUUCAGUUCUGGAAAACGUAUUUCCCUCUAUUGCGGCCCGGAAGGCGUUUUCUCCGUUGUGAAACGUAUUUGUGAUUUUGCGCCUCUGCCUUAUUCACCCAGGGACCCGUUGGUGGUAAAAUUUUCACAGAUUGGUCCUCCUUCUUCUACACCUCAUAACUUCGCGACCGUAACUCCGUUUAAGGUGAAACCAGCGCUCACUUCUUCGUUUCGUCGAUCUCUUUCUGUUGGUUUCAUUUUCACUAUGGUUUGACACUGUGAAAAUGACCUUUUUACCCUUGUGCGUAAACAACCCCUCCGAGAGAGAACUGCUUCCGACAAAUCUUUCGGCGGCUUCACUACACUUCUCCCAUGUGCCUUCUUCAUCCCCAGGCAAGCCACAAUACCCGCUUGCAUGAUAGUCAUGCAGUAGCCAUGGUUUUCAACUUGAAUAUUUAAUAAAUGUUUGCUCGUUGAAAAGAUGGUUAUCGUUGUUCCGGUAAUGUUCAGAUUUGCAUGUUCACUUUUGUGCUAUGUUGUUUUGUACUCUGUUGUCCUGUUAUACCAGCUAGUGUUUCCUUCCAUAUGUUUAUGAUUGCUAGUGGUACAUGUUGAUGUUGGUAAUGGUCAUGCUAGUCAGUAUGCCAUGGUCAGUGGAUAUGAUUUAUGGAUGAUAUGGUGGAUAGUUAUGUGAUACCCUCAUGAUGAUGUUGAUAUCAUGUUCAUGUAUUAUUGUUGGCAUCAUGUUAUUUUAUCAUGGCUCAACAUAUUUUUAUUCAAGUUUAACCGGAU